UAGGGAAUAUUGGACAAUGGGUGAGAGCCUGAUCCAGCCAUGCCGCGUGCAGGAAGAAGGCGUUAUGCGUUGUAAACUGCUUUUUGCCAGGGGAUAAAAUGACCGUGCGCGGUUAAUUGAAGGUACCUGGUGAAUAAGCCACGGCUAACUACGUGCCAGCAGCCGCGGUAAUACGUAUGGAGCGAGCGUUGUCCGGAAUUAUUGGGCGUAAAGGGUACGCAGGCGGUUUAAUAAGUCGAAUGUUAAAGAUCGGGGCUCAACCCCGUAAAGCAUUGGAAACUGAUAAACUUGAGUAGUGGAGAGGAAAGUGGAAUUCCUAGUGUAGUGGUGAAAUGCGUAGAUAUGUGGAGGAAUACCGAUGGCGAAGGCAGCCCCCUGGGAUAACACUGACGCUCAUGCACGAAAGCGUGGGGAGCAAACAGGAUUAGAUACCCAAGUAGUCCCUGAGCGGGCUGGCAAGGCGCAU
RNAcentral lists this ribosomal RNA (466 nucleotides) under uncultured bacterium. Its description in RNAcentral is "bacterial SSU rRNA". It matches the Rfam family "Bacterial small subunit ribosomal RNA", at positions 355 to 825 of the family's 1533-position model. The record is from RNAcentral.